This is a long non-coding RNA of Cyprinus carpio (common carp), 168 nucleotides long. RefSeq lists it as uncharacterized. NCBI's taxonomy places the organism in Eukaryota, Metazoa, Chordata, Actinopteri, Cypriniformes, Cyprinidae. The transcript has 3 exons. The record is from RefSeq and is a predicted model, not a curated record.
GAAACAAGCAGCAGGUCCCAGUCACAGCCAGAGUCGAAAGACUGGUGUCUCUCAUAUCAGGGCUCCUGAAACCAGUGCGGAAAUGACCAGUGACUUUCCUUCCGUUACUGCAGAGUCCUUCCUUCAAGAGCUUAAAAGCUCACUGUUUGAGGAAAUACAUGAGGAUGA